UUACUUGGAGUCCGAACUCUCACUUUCUAACCCUGUGCACUUGUUUGGGAUAGUAACUCUCGCAAGAGAGCGAACUCCUAUUCACUUAUAAACACAAAGUCUAUGAAUGUAUUAAAUUUUAUAACAAAAUAAAACUUUCAACAACGGAUCUCUUGGCUCUCGCAUCGAUGAAGAACGCAGCGAAAUGCGAUAAGUAAUGUGAAUUGCAGAAUUCAGUGAAUCAUCGAAUCUUUGAACGCACCUUGCGCUCCAUGGUAUUCCGUGGAGCAUGCCUGUUUGAGUGUCAUGAAUACUUCAACCCUCCUCUUUCUUAAUGAUUGAAGAGGUGUUUGGUUUCUGAGCGCUGCUGGCCUUUACGGUCUAGCUCGUUCGUAAUGCAUUAGCAUCCGCAAUCGAACUUCGGAUUGACUUGGCGUAAUAGACUAUUCGCUGAGGAAUUCUAGUCUUCGGACUAGAGCCGGGUUGGGUUAAAGGAAGCUUCUAAUCAGAAUGUCUACAUUUUAAGAUUAGAUCUCAAAUCAGGUAGGACUACCCGCUGAACUUAAGCAUAUCAA
Molecule: ribosomal RNA, 554 nt
Filed under: Rhodotorula mucilaginosa
Lineage: Eukaryota; Fungi; Basidiomycota; Microbotryomycetes; Sporidiobolales; Sporidiobolaceae
Description: partial 18S ribosomal RNA
Rfam family: 5.8S ribosomal RNA (bases 133-286)
Source: RNAcentral